GAGAGUUAAACAGUACGUGAAAUUGUUGAAAGGGAAACGAUUGAGGCCAGUCAUGCCUGCGAGAAAUCAAUUAGUCGAUCGGGUUUUUGAAUCUUUUUGGCUGGUGCACUUUUUCGCGUGGCAGGUUAGCAUCAACUUUGAUGGUUGUAAAAUGGUGGUCGGAAGGUGACUCUUUUUUGAGUGUUAUAGCCGGCUGCAGAUGCAACGAUUGGGGUUGAGGUUUGCGGCAAAUGCCUUUGGGCUACUUACCUUCCUUCUGAUCUGUUCACUUUGAAAUGACAGCUUGCUGACAUUUUAGGGGGCGUUCAAUCAAUAGGGUAGAGUAGGAUAAAUUUGCCAAGGAUGCUGACGUAAUGACCUUAAACGA
This 367-nucleotide ribosomal RNA is filed under the name uncultured Archaeospora. RNAcentral describes it as "partial 28S ribosomal RNA". The record is from RNAcentral. Lineage: Eukaryota; Fungi; Glomeromycota; Glomeromycetes; Archaeosporales; Archaeosporaceae.